RNAcentral lists this ribosomal RNA (424 nucleotides) under uncultured rumen bacterium. Its description in RNAcentral is "bacterial SSU rRNA". It matches the Rfam family "Bacterial small subunit ribosomal RNA", at positions 354 to 776 of the family's 1533-position model. The record is from RNAcentral.
GUGGGGAAUAUUGGACAAUGGCCGGAAGGCUGAUCCAGCCAUGCCGCGUGAAGGAUAAGGUCCUAUGGAUUGUAAACUUCUUUUGAGUGGGAGCAAUAAGGAUGUCGAGACAUCCGAUGAGAGUACCAUUUGAAUAAGCAUCGGCUAACUCCGUGCCAGCAGCCGCGGUAAUACGGAGGAUGCGAGCGUUAUCCGGAUUUAUUGGGUUUAAAGGGUGCGUAGGCGGUUUGUCAAGUCAGCGGUGAAACGCAAGGGCUUAACCCUUGACCUGCCGUUGAAACUGAUUGACUAGAAUGCGGAUGCUGUGGGAGGAAUGUGUGGUGUAGCGGUGAAAUGCAUAGAUAUCACACAGAACACCGAUUGCGAAGGCAUCUCACAAAUCCGUGAUUGACGCUGAGGCACGAAAGUGUGGGGAUCAAACAGG